GCUUGUCUCAAAGAUUAAGCCAUGCAUGUCUAAGUAUAAAUGUUAUACAGUGAAACUGCGAAUGGCUCAUUAAAACAGUUAUAGUUUAUUUGAUAAUCGAAUUUACAUGGAUAACCGUGGUAAUUCUAGAGCUAAUACAUGCUAAAAACCUCGACUUCGGAAGGGGUGUAUUUAUUAGAUAAAAAACCAAUGCCCUCCGGGGCUCCUUGGUGAUUCAUAAUAACUUAACGAAUCGCAUGGCCUUGCGCCGGCGAUGGUUCAUUCAAAUUUCUGCCCUAUCAACUUUCGAUGGUAAGAUAGUGGCUUACCAUGGUCUCAACGGGUAACGGGGAAUUAGGGUUCUAUUCCGGAGAGGGAGCCUGAGAAACGGCUACCACAUCCAAGGAAGGCAGCAGG
This 396-nucleotide ribosomal RNA is filed under the name Exophiala pisciphila. RNAcentral's name for it is "partial small subunit ribosomal RNA". It matches the Rfam family "Eukaryotic small subunit ribosomal RNA", at positions 30 to 432 of the family's 1831-position model. Lineage: Eukaryota; Fungi; Ascomycota; Eurotiomycetes; Chaetothyriales; Herpotrichiellaceae. The record is from RNAcentral.